CGUGCGGGGGGCUGCCGUCGGGCCUCUUCCGCAAUGGACGAAAGUCUGACGGAGCAACGCCGCGUGAGCGAAGAAGGUCUUCGGAUCGUAAAGCUCUGUUGUUAGGGAAGAACAAGUACGGGAGGAAAUGACCGAACCUUGACGGUACCUACGGAGGAAGCCACGGCUAACGCGGUGCCAGCAGCGGGGGUAAUACGUAGGUGGCAAGCGUUGUCCGGAAUUAUUGGGCGUAAAGCGGGGGCAGGCGGUCUUUUAGUUCUGGUUGGAAAUCUUGCGGCUCAACCGAAAGCGGUCAUUGGAAACUGGGAGACUUGAGUGCAGAAGAGGAAAGCGGAAUUCCACGUGUAGCGGUGAAAUGCUUAGAGAUGUGGAGGAACACCAGUGGCGAAGGCGGCUUUCUGGUCUGUAACUGACGCUGAGGCGCGAAAGCGUGGGGAGCAAACAGGAUUAGAUACCCGAGUAGUC
This 465-nucleotide ribosomal RNA is filed under the name uncultured bacterium. RNAcentral's name for it is "bacterial SSU rRNA". It matches the Rfam family "Bacterial small subunit ribosomal RNA", at positions 338 to 795 of the family's 1533-position model. The record is from RNAcentral.